This 65-nucleotide transfer RNA is filed under the name Limnogonus poissoni. RNAcentral describes it as "tRNA-Ile". Lineage: Eukaryota; Metazoa; Arthropoda; Insecta; Hemiptera; Gerridae. The record is from RNAcentral.
AAUAAGAUGCCUGAUUAAAGGGCUAUUUUGAUAGAAUAGAUUAUGUAAUUUUAUUACUCUUAUUA